This 342-nucleotide unclassified non-coding RNA is filed under the name Hevea brasiliensis (rubber tree). Lineage: Eukaryota; Viridiplantae; Streptophyta; Magnoliopsida; Malpighiales; Euphorbiaceae. The record is from RNAcentral.
UCUCUACCCUCACAGUGCGCACCAACCUCAUCCCCUCUCUCUCAGUCCAAAACUUACUCACUCCACUCAUUUCAUCUCAAGGCCUCUAUAGUCCAACACCCCGUUACCAAACUCCCCACUACAGCUGAAACACGGCGAAACAGCCUCUAUCUUUAUGGCCUCGAAACUCUCUGCUGCUGCAAAGGGUGGACUGAUGCAAAGAUCCAAAUUCAGGUCAGGAAUUCUCAUCGCCUUCUCCUCGCUCCUACUCUUACCAUCGCCAAUCAACAUCUUCUCAUCUUGCUUCUCGAAUGAAAUGGUUAUGUUCGAGACGUGCCCGGUUACAACCUGAUGAGUCGCCGG